UGUAUCUUUUGUGUCAGUCAAACUCAACUGACACUGUUGACCAAAAUAAGCCAUUUAGGUUAGUUUAAAACUGAUACUAUUGAUGUUAAUUAGCGUCAGAGAACACUGACGCUAAUGUGUUUAUUAAUAUAAAGAAGAAAAAAUAGGUCUGGGCCAAAGCACAUUAACCAAACCUAUGCACUCAGUCUUUCACUCUCCCUUUCUCUCACAACCGUAUAGCACUCUCCUUCCUCACAAAUUUCAUCCCUCACAUCUCAUUUCUCUCCGUCUCACAUCUUUCAGCAGUGUCGACAAGUGAGGGGCGACUAGCAAGGGGCGAGAACACUGACGACGGGUUUGUGGAGCCGACGACAGCAGUGGGUAAGUUUACGUUCUCUUUGUCUCUCUCAGUCGCUUUCUUUCACUCUCUGUAUUGUAGGUUGGGGGUGUAGAGUCGACGAGAGCAGUGGGUACGUGAGAUGAAGUCUAUCUGAUUACGCAAAAUAUAAUCCCACAUUAUUUGGAAACAAAAUAAUUCUUAUUUCUUCCUUUUAUAAAUUCAACACUCACCUAUUCUUCUAAACACGAUUAAUAAAAUACUUACAUGAUUUAUUAUAUUGAAAUAAUUAAUAUAAUAAAAUAAUUGAUGAUAAGGUUCAGGAUAAUGGAUAAGUCCAUAACGAACAAAAUACUAACAUUCAAUUUUGCCUCUCUCCCCAUCUCUGUCUCUCUCAUCCAUUUCACUCUCAAGCUCGCUCUCAUCGGCAUGGAUUAUCAAGAUGAUGUAUGAUCCAUUCUGCCCAUUCUAAUCAUUUACCUCUGCCUCUAUGCAUUACCGUUAUUUUAUUUUUCAGAGCCAUAUUAUGAUUCCCUACAAAAGUUUGCGUCCUCUUGUUUUUUUAGGAGCUAUGGUAGUUGAUCGGCCAACUAGUUAUUGAAAUUACAAACAUUAUCCUUGUUUUUGUUUUGCUAAUCUUUGCUCCAAAUCAUGUAUAUGUGACAAAGACACAAACAUUAAAAACAGAUUGCUAAUUGUGUCAUAUUGGACUCUUUAUUAUGAACAGAGGAGAUUAGAAAGACAAUCAUUUAUGUGUA
Long non-coding RNA from Humulus lupulus (European hop), 1074 nucleotides. RefSeq lists it as uncharacterized. The record is from RefSeq and is a predicted model, not a curated record. The transcript has 2 exons. NCBI's taxonomy places the organism in Eukaryota, Viridiplantae, Streptophyta, Magnoliopsida, Rosales, Cannabaceae.